AAGCUUUUUACCGGUCCGGCCCGUGGAACCGGAAGCCGGAAAAUGGCCAUUAAGACAAAGGCCCCAGCCCUUACGGGGCGCAGCAGUCGCGAAAACUUUGCANUAAGCGAAAGCUGACAGGGCUAUCCGAAGUGCCAUCCGCUGAGAAAGGCUUUUUACCCAGUUUAGACCGCUGGGGAAAUAAGAAGAGGCCAAGUCUGGUGUCAGCCGCCGCGGUAAUACCAGCUCUCCGAGUGGUGUGGAUGUUUAUUGGGCCUAAAGCAUCCGUAGCUGGCUAGGUUAGUCCCUUGUUAAAUCCACCGAAUUAAUCGUUGGAUUGCGGGGGAUACUGCUUGGCUAGGGGACGAGAGAGGCAGACGGUAUUUCCGGGGUAGGGGUGAAAUCCUAUAAUCCCGGGAAGACCACCAGUGGCGAAGGCUGUCUGCUAGAACGCGCCCGACGGUGAGGGAUGAAAGCUGGGGGAGCGAACCGGAUUAGAUACCCGGGUAGUCCCAGCUGUAAACGAUGCAGACUAGGUGUUUGGACGGCCACGUGCCGUUCUAGUGCCGCAGGGAAGCUGUUAAGUCUGCCGCCUGGGGAGUACGAUCGCAAGAUUGAAACUUAAAGGAAUUGGCGGGGGAGCACAAGGGCGAAUUCCAGCACACUGGCGGCCGUUACUAGUGGAUCCGAGCUCGGUACCAAGC
RNAcentral lists this ribosomal RNA (683 nucleotides) under uncultured archaeon. RNAcentral's name for it is "bacterial SSU rRNA". It matches the Rfam family "Archaeal small subunit ribosomal RNA", at positions 254 to 953 of the family's 1478-position model. The record is from RNAcentral.